This 73-nucleotide transfer RNA is filed under the name Levilactobacillus brevis. Its description in RNAcentral is "tRNA-Arg". It matches the Rfam family "tRNA". Rfam says of the family: Transfer RNA (tRNA) molecules are approximately 80 nucleotides in length. Lineage: Bacteria; Bacillati; Bacillota; Bacilli; Lactobacillales; Lactobacillaceae. The record is from RNAcentral.
GUCCCCAUAGCACAACUGGAUAGGGCACUCGUCUCCUAAGCGAAUGAUCCCGGUUCGAGCCCGGGUGGGGACA